RNAcentral lists this ribosomal RNA (447 nucleotides) under uncultured prokaryote. RNAcentral's name for it is "partial 16S ribosomal RNA". The record is from RNAcentral.
CCCUAUGGGGUGCACCAGGCCAUGCAGGAAAACGACUACAGGUACUGGGAUAAUAAUAGAGACGCAAUUAAAAAAGUAUAUGACGAAGCCAUGUCGUGAUAGGCUCAUCUUUUAUAUCAUUUCCUUAGCGGCCUUCCUUUAACUGUCUAAACUAUCCCAAAAUAGGAUAUAUCAUGAUAAACAUAUAUCCAUAUGGAAGGCAAGAGAUCUAUGCUAAAGAAAUAUAUUUUUAUAAUAUUAUUACUCUUUUUAAUGCAACCCGCUUUCGGAAUAGAAGUUGGCUAUUCAUUGAACGAUCUGACCGUAAACAGCGAGUAUGAUGUGGACGACUCGGUCUAUGUUCACGAAGAGAUCUCAGGAAACCCUCAGGAUAGCACCCUGCAAAGCAGCCGGGAGGUCUCCGGCAACGGUAAGAUGCAGGGCAGCCAGACGAUCUCAUCGGAGAGC